RNAcentral lists this long non-coding RNA (3273 nucleotides) under Mytilus galloprovincialis (Mediterranean mussel). Lineage: Eukaryota; Metazoa; Mollusca; Bivalvia; Mytilida; Mytilidae. The record is from RNAcentral.
UAAAAAGAAGCAGUGUUGGACACUGGGUAUCUGAUAUCUACAACCACCUUGUAAAGAACAGGAAAAACAAAAACUCGUCACCAUGAAUAAGUUCAUUACUGUUUGUCUAUUACUUGCUGUUUUGGGUAAGUUCUGAUUUACAUGAUAUGUUUAUGCCUAUUGCAUUUUCUCAAUUACGUGUUUCCUUGUUUUAAUCAUUAGUCAGUUUUAAAGUCUUCUACGAGUUAAGUUUUUUUGUGAGUUUACUUUUUUCAGUAUAUGUACCAAUGCCAUGUAUCCGAAACAAAAGUCAAACUAAAGAUUAAAUACCACAAGGCUAAGUAAAAGCAACCUUUUUUGGUUAGAGAAGCAUUGUUAAUUAAGUUUAUUACAUUGGUUGCAAUAAAUUACAUUGAUUUCCCAGUUAGAUAAAAACCGAUAAUUUCACAUGUGAAAUAAACGUGGUUAUUUCACUCUCUGACGUCAUACAACAAUAGGCGUUGUCAAGACGUCGAUAACGUCGGAUCAAAACAAAUUGUCAAUGCGUAGGAAAAAGAUAUAGUUCCUUACAUUUUCUACAUUAAUUUUAUAAAAAAAAGCCAAAUUUUGCCAAUGUAAUAAAAAGAAUAACUAAUCGCCGUAUUUGAAUAUCAAAAAUAAGACAACUUGUGACCGAACGCCGCUAUGGAUUAAACUCGUGCUGCGCACUCGUUUAAUCCAUGCGUCGUUCGGUCACGCGUUGUCUUAUUUUUGAUAUUCAAAUACGGCGAUUAGUUAUACUAUAAUUCUUUAUUAUCAACAAGUUUUACAAAAAUUAAAAAAAAAUGAAUAAAAUGAAAAAAUGAAUAAGAAACCAAAAUUUUCUCCAAUGAACAAUAUUUGAUUAGACUUUCCUGGCUUAAGAUUUAUUACACUGAGAAGACUGAUAGAGUUAAACCUUACAUUAUGCUUUCGUUCAUAAGCACUCAGUAACUACCAGAUACUUAGUAAAACUUUAUAGAAAUACCUCCCUAUCCUUUGUCUUUAACAUGUUUGUAUGCCCAACUUACGAUAGUUGAUGGGUUAAUAUGUGUUCUGGUCUGUGCGUCCGUUCGUUUGUCUGUCCGUCCGUUCAUUCGUUUGUCCGUCCGUCUGUCCCGCUUCAAUUAUAGUUUUUGGUUAAUGUAAUUUUUUUAUUAAGUUGAAGUCCAAUCAACUUCAAAUUUAGUACACAUGUUCCCUAUGAUAUGAGCUUUCUUAUUGUAAUGCCUAAUUAGACUUUUGAUCCCAAUUUCACGGUCAACUGAACAUAGAAAAUGAUAGUUUGAAUGGGGCAUCCGUGUACUAUGCACACAUUCUUGUUUAAAAGAAUUUUGGGAACCAAUUCCUGGUCAUUGCAGUACUGAUUGAUUAAUGUCAACAACGUCAGUCCUAUCAUUUAACAUACAACUAUGGAUCUCAAUUAAUUUUAUUCUAGGAAAUCUAUUACCUAAUAUUAAAUAUCUUUAUAACCAUUAAGAAAACAUUCGAUAAGGCAAGAUUAAAAAGAAUUUAAUCAAAAUCAGAAAACAAUAUCCCAAACAUUUUGUCAGUAAAAAGUAAAAUCAUAAAAAUACUAUACUUCCAGGAAAUUCAAAACGGAAAGUCCCUAAGUAACUGCCAAAAUUAAAUAAUAAAACACAUCAAACGAAUGAGCAACAACUGUCAUAGUCCUGACUUGGUACAGGCAUUUUCAAAUGUAGAAAAUGGUGGAUUGAACCUGGUUUUAUAGCGAUAAACCUCUCACUUGUAAUGACAGGUGCAUCAAAUUAUACAUACAACGAUGCGUAAAUUAAGUCACUUUACUCAUUGCUUUCCUGUAUCAUUUAGUGAUUUAUGAUACACAGAAAAGUAAGAUAACAAAAAUACUGACCUCCGAGUUAAAUUCUAAACGGAGAGUCCCUAAGCAAAUGGAAAAAUCAUAAGCUCAAACACAUCAAACGAAUGGAUAACAACUGUCUUAUUCCUGAUUUGAUACCGGUAUUUUCUUAUUUAUACAUUAUCUAUUCAUUCGAAUUCCCCGUUGAUUAAUGAAGAAAUUAUUAAGAAACUAAGCUAUGUAAAUCUUUACUUAAUUUAUGUAUUCUUUGUAUGUCUUUUCGUCCUAACGUUUCUACCUGAUUAAGGACUUUCCGCUUUAAAUUUUCCUCGGUGUUUGGUAUUUUUCGUGAUUUUACAUUUUGUACAUCUUUUCUUAAUGACGUGUUUUUUGUAGGAUGUACGUUGGCAACUGCAGAAGAUGGUUUGUGCGCAUGUGGUAUGAUAUAUGAUCCUGUGUGUUCAAUGACUGGGAAAACGUAUUCCAACGAAUGUGUACUGAACUGCAAGUAAGUGCUUUUUACUCAUUGAUUGGUGCAUUUUAUUUUAUUAACAGCUUUGCGAAGUUAAGGUUAUAUACAAUAUAUUGUUACAUAUUUUUAUAGAGUCGAUUAAAAAAAUUUCAGUUCAACUUUCAAAGUGUGGAGUUGUUUGAAAAAGCCAUGAGUGGUACAGACACAAAAUGAAGAAUAUUGCAAACUCGAUUAUUGGUGCCGUCCGUAAUCAUAUCAACACAAACACUUGCGAUUUUGAAUCGUCUAUGUGGCCCAUUGUGUGUCAUUUCGUCUUCAAUCAAAACCUGAUAAGUUCGUUGCUGAAUCAGAUUAGUGCUGAAACGCAGAAAAAAAACAAUAAGUCCGUUACUAUUCUACAUCGUGAUAAAUAAAUAUGUCUAAACUAAUAAAACCUGUUUUGACAAAAACAGUAUAAAAUCAAAAUGCAAACUGAAUUUAAUUCAAAAUAAUGUAAGACGAAGGUGGUUGUCUAAUAAAUUUCCAUAAUGUAGGUGAUAGACAACCAGAUAAACGACAACAUAGUUUAUGAAUACUGAUUCGUAUUGAAAAUAAAAUAGAUGAAAACCCGUUGUAUCUGAAUACUAUUCAAUUUUAGCCCAUUUUCCGAAACUUAAAAUGGUUAUAUCAUAUACAUUGUAUAUUACAUUGAAAUCCAAAAUUUCUUAUGCACUUUUUUAAGUUGCCCUCCCUAACUAGAAACUUUGUUUUGACACCAUCAGUUAAUGCGUUAUAAAAGAGGCUAUAAUCAAUACAUGUUUAAGAAAAAUUCUCAUAUAUGUUUACAGCGCUGGUGAAGUGGUUGCAUCACGUGGAGUAUGUCCAACUAAGAAGUAACCUCAACAAUUUGCAACGGUACGUAUAUACAGUACUGUCUGACCAUGUAAACAUAGUAGAUGGAUAUGUGGUAGAUAUAUUAAGGUAGCACUACAGUCUAACAAUGAUU